This 10190-nucleotide long non-coding RNA is filed under the name Nicotiana tabacum (common tobacco). RNAcentral's name for it is "long non-coding RNA (NTAB_LNC005789)". The record is from RNAcentral. Lineage: Eukaryota; Viridiplantae; Streptophyta; Magnoliopsida; Solanales; Solanaceae.
AAGCAUUGGGUGGGAAGCACAUGCUCCAUGAUUCUGAAUAGUAAAGCAUUGGGUGAAAGAUAAAACUCAUAGAAAGAAGGGAAUGUCUUCUGCAGUUUAGUUUAAUCUGAUAGAAAAAAAAAUUACUCUAUCAGCGAACACUGAAUAGAAAUAUGCUCUUUUCGUGAUAAACGUGCCAAAACAUUAAACGCCAAUGGUAAUAAGGAUUGACAAUAUUACCUUUGAUUAUUAUUGUUGGACACAAAAAUCAUGUAGACUACAUAUAUUGUUGUGUUUUUAUCAGUCACGAGAAAAAAUCUAAGGGCUCGUUGGUCACCGGGAGUUAUAUGAAAAUCUGAAUUUAAAUUCGAUCAGACCAUGACAUAACAGAAUCAAUUACUGGAAACUAAUAAACUAAAAAAAACAGAGCAUAUAUUUCUAUGCCACAAUCCUCUUUAGUUCAUUUAUGGAAUAAUUCAUUAAAUAAUGAGAGCAAUCAACAUAUAUUGUUAUGCUAGCAUGAGGAUGCACAAAUCCGACAAAAGAAUCAUACAAAAUAAGUAAUGAAAUCACGAUUUAUCCAGAGUUCAAUUCCUCUUAACUUAAACAGAAUGAGUUCAUGAACAAGUGAAAUUCAGUAGGAACCAUACACAAUUAAAUUUAACUGUGUAUAAAAUUGUGCUAACCUUUCUUCAAAGAACAACUAAACAUGAUUCAUAAAGCGAGUUUCCCAUAAAUCUUUAUGCACUUUGAAGUAAGAACAACAAGCAAAUUGGACCGAAAGCCAAAUAAAUGCAAGAUGCUUCAAAUUAGAGCCCAGUAUAGCAAGAAAAUAAAUCCUUUAGCAGCAGUGACAGUACUGCGAUCCACGGCUCAAAAUGAUUCUCAGAAACCUCAAGAAGAAGGAAGUCGAACUCCAUUUUUAAGAGUCAAAAUCAAGGAGGAAGGAGCUGGAAUUUUGCAUUCUAGCGAGUGAAGGAGUGGAUAAUAGGGAAAGUUGCGCUCGAAAAAAAGGGGGAGGGGAUCUUUUGAUUCUUUGAUGUUAAAGAGAGAGAGCGAGAGACGCGCUAUUCUUUUUUAUUUUGCAGAGCUCCCCUCUAUUGAAGGUGAGUGCCAUUUUUUGCGUGUCUAAAAGAGAGAGGGGUCCGAUCUUUUAGGGUUAAGUAAAAAGGGGAUCUUUAAAGAGGGGAUUGGGCCGGUUCGGGUCGUGUAAUGAUUUGGGCUAGUUUUGGAAAUGGUAACAACCCAAUUUCAAUUAAAGGCCCCUUUUUCAAUUACCUCUUUUUUUAUUCCUAUUUUCCUUUUCCUCUCUUUUUUCUUUUUUUUAGUUAAAAAUCCUAAAUUUAAAAUACUAAAUUAAUCUAAAUUGCAAAAUUAAACUAAUUACCUAAUUACAAUAAUUAUAAAAAAUUAAUUAAUCCUACAUUAAAAGAGAAAGAUCACUAAUCUAAGCAUUAUAAGGUAAAAAAUAUAAAAUGAGCUAUUUUUGUGAUUUUCAUUUUUAAUACAACAAUUAAUUAACUAAUUGAUCCUAAAAAGUAUAAAACCAAAACUCUAAAUGCAAUGCAUGGUAUUUUGGUAUUUUUCAUGAUUUUAACAAGAAUUGAACAUGCACAAAAAUGUAAACAAUUAAUGAAAAUCCUAUAAAAUGGCAAAUAAUUAAAAAAAUCUAUUUUCUUUGAUUUUUAUAGGAGCAGUUCAUAUAGGGCAAAAAUCAGGUGCUCACAGCUGCCCCUCUUUGCUCGAAGACAUGAAGGGUUUUCGGGCAAAGAUAAAAUGAGCAAUUACGAGGGAUUUUAGCCCAUUCAAAACUCCAUGAGAAGCAUCUUUAGAAAAAGCCUGACCGAACCUUGCUUCGGAGGUUGCUUACAUAUCCUUGGCUAUAAAGGAAUCAUGUCAGUGUAGUUCUAGAAGUUUUGGUAGCUGGGACUACCAGGAAACUGUGAUUUCACUAUUAUUGAUGUUGUUUCUGCUUGUUGAGCUCCUUAUUACACCAAGAUGAAAUAUGAAAAGCUAAAACUAGAUAAUCCUAGCAACUAUGAGUUACAAGAUUCCUAUCUAUAAACCUUCUAAGCUUGAUCUUGAGUCUUGGCUGGUUCUUCUUGCAGACUCUUAUCUGAAUCUUGAUGCUCGUUAUCUACAGUUGCCAAUUCAUUUUUCUUCAGCAUUUUGGAUCAAGGCGGGACAUGAAAAACUUGUGACUUCAAUCAAAUUUUGAUCAGUCCGCAUCUUUUCUCCGCUUCUGCACCUUGAGUUCAACUUAUUUUUUCUUGUUUAUUCUUUUUUUUUAUUUGGGUUGAGACUUCUUCUUUUGAUUAUCUCAAACCUUGUGCCUCACGAUGAAAACCUGUUUAGGCUCCAAAGCAAACAAACAAACAAAAAAAUUUUGCCCUAGUUUUCACUAGGAAAAUUUCGUGAGUCAUUGUAACAAAGACUAUUUCAUUAUUUGAAAGAGAUAAAAUAAGGAUUGUGUAUCCUUGGGAAAAAGAGAUUAGGAGUGGAGCCUUAUAUCUAAAAUAAAAUCAACUAGGGAGCGGAGACCCUAUGUUGGAAAAGUGAAUAGGGAGUGGAGACCCUAUGUCUAAAAAGAAACUCAAUUAAGGAGAUGAGACCCCAGGUUGGAAAAGCGACUAGGGAGUGAAGACCCUAUGUCUAAAAUAAACUCAACUAAGGAGUGGAGACCCUAUGUUGUCAAAGGCGACUAGGGAGUAGAGACCCUAUGUCUAAAGAUAAACUCAACUAGGGAGUGGAGACCCUAUGUUGGCAAAGGAGACUAGGGAGUGAAGACCCUAUGUCUAAAGAUAAACUCAACUAGGGAGUGGAGACCCUAUGUUGGAAAGACAACUAGGGAGUAGAGACCCUAUGUCUAAAAAUAAACUCACUUAGGAGUGGAGACCCUAUGUUGGAAAGCGACUAGGGAGUGGAGACCCUAUAUCUAAAAAUAAACUUAAUUAGGGAGUGAAGACCCUAUGUUGGAAAGGCGAUCAGGGAGUGGAGACCAUAUGUUGGAAAAACGACUAGGGAGUAGAGACCCUAUGUCUAAAAUAAACUCAAUUAGAGAGUAGAGUCCCUAUGUUGAAAAGGCGACUAGGGAGUGGAGACCCUAUGUCUUAAAAUAAACUCAAUUAGGGAGUGGAGACCCUAUGUUGGAAAGGCGACUAGGGAGUGGAGACCCUAUGUUGAAAAGGCGUCUAGGGAGUGGAGACCCUAUGUCUAAAAAUAAACUCAACUAGGGAGUGGAGACCCUAUAUCUAAAAUAAAAUCAAUUAGAGAGUGGAGAUCCUAUGUUGGAAAGGCGACUAGGGAGUGGAAACCCUAUUUUGAAAAUAAACUCAACUAGGGAGUGGAAACCCUAUGUUGGAAAGGCGACUNNNNNNNNNNNNNNNNNNNNNNNNNNNNNNNNNNNNNNNNNNNNNNNNNNNNNNNNNNNNNNNNNNNNNNNNNNNNNNNNNNNNNNNNNNNNNNNNNNNNNNNNNNNNNNNNNNNNNNNNNNNNNNNNNNNNNNNNNNNNNNNNNNNNNNNNNNNNNNNNNNNNNNNNNNNNNNNNNNNNNNNNNNNNNNNNNNNNNNNNNNNNNNNNNNNNNNNNNNNNNNNNNNNNNNNNNNNNNNNNNNNNNNNNNNNNNNNNNNNNNNNNNNNNNNNNNNNNNNNNNNNNNNNNNNNNNNNNNNNNNNNNNNNNNNNNNNNNNNNNNNNNNNNNNNNNNNNNNNNNNNNNNNNNNNNNNNNNNNNNNNNNNNNNNNNNNNNNNNNNNNNNNNNNNNNNNNNNNNNNNNNNNNNNNNNNNNNNNNNNNNNNNNNNNNNNNNNNNNNNNNNNNNNNNNNNNNNNNNNNNNNNNNNCGUAGCUAGAGAUUGGAGACCCUAGGCUACCAUGAUUUUUUUGAAUUUUUCUUCUUCUUUUUCAUUUCAUUUUUUGAACAAUGAGUAAAAAUGUAGGAAAGAAUUCGGAUGAGACUUACCUUUGGGAUUGAUUAUUGCUGCAAAAGUUGUUUCUAGCCCUUACGUAGUUUCUUUUUGGUUACACCUGCUUCUUGCAAGGUUGCCUUGGAUUGUACCUGUUUUAUGUUUUCAAACAAAGAAAAAUUGUUAGUUUGAAAUGGUGGUUGGUUUCGUGGCCUUGAUUGUUUCAAUCACUUGAUCUCGACUCGACUUCUUUGAUGGAGAACUCAACUGCAACUGCUUGUUCCCUGAGGAUCGAUUUCAUUUCUGACCCUGGAGAACCUCUAGCUUUUCCAGACUUUGCCAUAACAGUUGGUCACGGGGGACUUAAGCUUUCAACUUGUUUCGCCUUUGUGGGCCUUUCCUUUUUGACUUCCUUUUCUUCUUCUUUUUUUUUUCUUUUUUUUAACUUCAUAGUAUUGGGGAAUUUUUGGCUCCUCUAACUUGGUCGCAAUGGCUAGUCGCGUGGGACUUAUCCUUUUCCAAUUUUAUUCAGCCUUUAUAGGCCUUUCAUUUCUGGCUUUUUCUUCCAGCUUCAGUUUCAGAGCAUUUGGGGUACCUUGGAUUUUCAAAACUUUGCCGAGACGGUUAGCCUCGUAGGACUCAACCCUUUCAACUUUCAAGAGUUUUCAAUUUCAAAACAUCAGCCACCUUGGACGGUCCAAGUCGACUUGAUGCCCCUAACGAGGCUGGGUGCCUUUUUGCAUUUUGGCUUGUAUGAAAUGAGACCCCUGUAAAUCAGUCUUACUAUCCUUUCUUUGUCUUAGUUUCGGAAUAGAGUUAGACCGAAAGGGAUUCAAAGAAAACAAACAAUGGAAUGGAGAAUGAGUUUAAAACAAGAAGUGUCCCUUUCGGGGAAAGGAAAAAAUGGACUUAUCUGGAGUACACGCAGACUUUAAUGAGCAUGACAUGCCUUUUGGACUGGAUGUCUGAUCUAUGUAAACCAUCCGACUCUCAGAAAUUCAUCACAACCUUUGCCUCAAAAUCGAGAAACCUUGCCAGGACUCUGUCGAUACCGAUGGCUGUGAGGAACUUCUUUUCGAUCAGUGGCGCCCUUUGCGGGGUUUCACUAGUUGUCCACUCUCUUUCUCUUCUCACCAUCACCUUAUAGUUCUCUUUGUAAGUUUUCACUAACAAGGCUUUCUCAUUUCUAGUUUUUCUGCUUACUGUCGCCUCACGGUGUCAAUGUGGGUUUUCACCAAUAAGACUCUCUCAUUUUAUUUCUCUGCUUACCAUCGUCUUACGGUGCUCGUGUGGGUUUUCACCAAUAAGACUCUCUCAUUUCAUUUCUCUGAUUUUGCUGUAUCAGAUCCAAGUAGUUGCAUUCUCCGAUCCUGGGACAUUCUUGCCGAUUGAUCGGAAGGACUUGAAAGGAUUUGGGUAAAGUAAUUUGGACUAAAUUACAAUUUUGGAACCAUUCAGGCGGGAUCAUCGCCGAACCAUUGUAAAUUAUGCCCCACUUUCAACUUUUGGGGAAUUUAGAUUUUUGUUAUGGUGUGACUGAACCCCAGAAAGAGGUUGCCUACGUAUCCUUUCGGAAUCAAGUCGAACGUGGUUCAGGAAACUUUAUUUUUUUUUAUUUUCGUAUAUUUUUAUUUUCUUUCUGUUUUAUUUUCUUUUCUUUUUCUUUUCUACGUAUCCCCCUUUUAUUUUCAUUUCAAUUUUUUUUUAAUUUUUUUUUAAUAACACUUUCAGGUUCCAAAGAGGGUAGUCAAAGAAGAGUAACCGGCUCAAAGGGUUUGCAAAGGGUGGAUAGUGUUUGGAUAACGAGAAUGAAAGCCUUCUUCAUCCCAACCAGAGAACAUUACUGUUAUAUAGAGGAUCCAACAUAGUACCUUUUGGCUGCAUUUGCAUUGACAGUUGUUUCAGGGACAUUUCCUUCUAUGUGUCCCAAAUACAACGCACUCUUUUGGCAGUACUCUUGUUGUAAUGUAUGAACCUUCCCAAUCUGGAACAAAUUUUUCUUCAGCUGUUCCAACUCUUUGUUUUAUUUACUUAAACUUAUCUUCACUGUGAUUCUAAUUCUUGAUUCAUUAUUUCGAGUUUUGAUCGCAUUUUAGGAUCUAGGAAUGAAGUCCGCAAGCAUGACAUGUUAUUGAAAUCUGCAUUUAACAGAACUAAAAAGAGAAUAAGAAAAAUGACAAGAUUAAGAAAAGAGAUGUUCCUGGACAAUGAAAUAUUGAUUUCAUUUGAUUUUUUUUGAUUUUUUUUUAAAUUUUUUGAGGAUAGAAGGGUUUACAUCAGAAAGUAAGACAAUAAGGUAAAACAUCCGGAUCAUACCCUGAGAUAAUCGGGACGAAGAAAGGAUAGCAAGACUGGCUACUAAGACUCCCGUCUGAUGGGGAACUUUCCUGCUUGGCAACAAUGUUUUUGGCUUUUCUUCUGUCUCGACAAUGGCUGCAAUGGCCUACAGUGCCAGAUGAAAUUCCUCAUCUUCACAAAUCGUUCCGACUAUUGGCCCACUGUUGUGUGCAGGCAACAGAUUGUUCAUCAUAUCAAGGGCUUCUUCAUCCUUAAAACCAAUUCUUUCAGCUUCAAUCAAAUCUUUAACUACCCUUUUGAGGGUCCAACAGUCCUUUGUAUUGUGUCCCACUACUACCGAGUGGUAUUCACAUCUAGCAUCAGCUGGGUACGCUGGGGACUCGGGGUUCAGCCGGUUCGGGGCCAUUGACUACAAUAGAUCUAGCCUGAUUAGCUUUUGGAACAAGCUUGAAUACGAUUCACCAAUAUGGGUGAACUGAUUCUUUCUGAAAGGCUCUCUUGGUAGAGGACUGUAUUGGGGAUCAUUUGAUUGAGGAUUAUAUGGAGCUUGGUAAGGAUGGGCAUUUUUGGUGGGUGGAGCUCGGUUUUGUGCAUAAUGUUGUGGUCGCGAGUAAGGUUGCACGUUCAUCACUGCACAGGGAGGCGGUGCCACGGCAUAAACAAUAUCUUGAAAGGGAUAAUAGUGUAGUGGGACCAUAGGAGGCACAUAUACUUGGUUGAAUAACCUUCGGGACCCCCUCAAGCUGGAAGCCAUCAUGGCUCCUUCUUCUCUCCCAUUUCCAUUUAUCAAACCAUCUGAACCAUUUUUAACAUCUGGUGAUGUGGCUUUAAAAGCAGCAUGACUCAAGAUUCGGCCCGUUUUUAAACUGUUUUCAACCAUUUCCCCAAUUUUGAUAGCCUCAGCGAACGACUUUCCCACAGCAGACAUCAUGUUCUGGAAGUAGUUAACAUCUUGGGCCUGCAGAAAGACCGUGACCAUUUCAAUUUCGUCUAUUGGAGGCUUUACCCUGACAGCUUGCUCAUGCCAUUUGAAAGCAUAUUCGCGGAAGCUUUCCGCGGUUUUCUUUUUCAAAUUGGACAAGGAUUUUCUGUUGGGAGCGAUGUCCACAUUAUAUUGGAACUGGCGGACAAAAUCUCAAGCCAUAUUGUCCCACACAUGCCAAUGAGUAAUUUCUUGAUCCGUAUACCACUCAGAAGCAAAUCCGGAGAGGCUUUCCGCAAAAUAGGCCAUUAGCAGCUCCUCUUUUCCACCAACACCCCAAGAUGGUUACAAUAUCGUUUCAGAUGAGCGACUGGGACUCCGUACCCAUCGUACUUUUCAAAUUUUGGCAUCUUGAAGCCAGCUGACAAGUGGACAUGGGGAAACAUACAGAGGUCAGAGUAUGAGACACUCUUUUGGCCACUUAGACCUUGCAUGUUUUACAAGAUUUGUUCCAGGGUCUUCAUCUUCCGAGCCAUUUCCUCUUUCUCGGGAUUUUUAACAACCUUUUCUUUCUCCACUGAGAGAUCAUAUUGUGGAGGUUGAGUGAAAGAGUACGGGGUCACAUAUGUAUUUCUGGUUGAAGCUACGGACCCUGAAAGAUGAACAUUGGAGGCAGUGCUCUUGAAGCCAGUGCUUGGGGGAGAACCACAGAAGGCAUGCCAAGAUCAUUGGAGGGCAUUGGAGGGCGCCCGCAUGGGAUGAGCGAGUUGGGCACAGGGGCAUUGGUAACCUCACCUGACCUGGGAAUCAAUUCAGGGAACCCAGGGAUUGCACUUGGCGGUUCCCUACCACUAGACCAGACGUCCCAUAUUUCCAAUAUGCAGAGAUGCAACAUCUUAUUCUCUUCAGCAGUUGCUGAUUAUAGCUGCAGAAUAGCCGAUGUCGGGCUAUCCUCAGGACCGAUGAUUGGUAGAUUGCUUGUAGAGGCCAUCUGCGCCUUUGGAUCUUGUGAAGGAGGGGAGGCUAGACUACUAACAAAACCAACCACCAAAACUUGGCUAAUUUGCACACGCAACAACCUUGUUAGUUUUGAGACAUUUAACAUAUUGGAAAUCGCACGUUGGGAUGCAAUGCACCUAACAGUUAAACGCUUCUACCAUGUGUUUGAAUGGUUGCAUGUUUCAUCCCGACCUUAACUAACUCUUCAGUAUGUACCUCUUUUCUUUUAUUUCUGGCUCUAUUUAAUCACUCUUGAUUUUCUCAUUUUGUUUUUGCCGCUCUUUUAUUUUGGCACUCUCUUUUCUUUUUUGUUUAUUUCACUCUUUUAUUUCUUGUCGCUCUCUCUUUUUUUCCUUUUUUUCACUCUUUUUUUUUCACUCAAUUUUUCUUUCUCUUUUUUUUUCAAUUUAUUUUCACUCAAUUAAUUUUAAGGCUAUGAUCGAAUCCGAUGGGGAUUGCCUACGUAUUAUGACGCCGCAUGAAUCAGAUUUUGCGUAGUUCGGGAAGAUGAGGAACAAGGUAAAUGAGGUAACACUUUUUUUUUGACUUUUCGAAAGAAAUGCUUUAAAAUAAGAAAGAAAAUAUUUUUUUUUGGAUUUUUGAUUUUGAUUUUUCUUUUAUUUUUUUUUGAAAGAUAGACUUCUAAAAAUUUCUUAUCUUUUGAUUUGAAUUUUGGGAAUUUUAAACAUAAAAAAAAAUAUUUUUUUUUUGAAUUUUUAUUUAUUUUCUAGAAGAACAGAAGUUACAGGUAGAAUAGUAAAGUAUUGGGUGGGAAGCACAUGCUCCAAGCUUCUGAAUAGUAAAGCAUUGGAUGAAAGAUAAAACUCAUAGAAAGAAGGGAAUGUCUUCUGCAGUUUAGUGUUUUGAGAAAAUGCCAUCAUGUUUUCCAAAACCCUUCCUUUUUUAUUCUUUUUUUUCUUUUUAUUUCAUUCAUUUCUUUAUAAUUUCCCACAUAGUAAUCUGAGUCUUUCAUUGCACUCAUAUAUAGAAAGUGUAUACACUACUACUACUAACUAGUACUAUAUUAUAACCCUAUAUGUAUAUGGGCUAAUUAUAUGUCAUUACGUUAUUUCACUGGUAAUUUUAUAUACAUGUCACUUUAAUCUGAUAGAAAAAAAAUAUUACUCUAUCAGCUAACACUGAACAGAAAUAUGCUCUUUUCGUGAUAAACGUGCCAAAACAUUAAACGCCAAUGGUAAUAGGGAUUGAUAGGAUUACCUUUGAUUAUUAUUGUUGGACACAAAAAUCAUGUGAACUACAUAUAUUGUUGAGUUUUUAUUAGUCACGAGAAAAAAUCUAAGGGCUCGUUGGUCACCGGGAGUUAUAUGAAAAUUUGAAUUUAAAUUCGAUCAGACCAUAACAUAAUGGGAUCAAUUACUGGAAACUAACAAACUAAAAAAAAUAUAGCAUAUGAUGCCACAAUCCUCUUUAGUUCAUUUAUCCAAUACUCAUCAAAUAAUGAGAGCAAUCAACAUAUAUUGUUAUGCUAGCAUGAGGAUGGACAAAUCCGACAGAAGAAUCAUAUAAAAUGAGUAAUGAAGUCACGAUUUAUCCGGAGUUCAAUUCCUCUUAACUUAAACAGAAUAAGUUCAUGAACAAGCGAAAUCCAGUAGGAAUCAUACGCAAUUAAAUUCAAUUGUGUAUAAAAUUGUGCUAACCUUUCUUCAAAGCACAACUAAACAUGAUUCACAAAGCGAGUUUCCCAUAAAUCUUUAUGCACUGUUUUGAAGUAAGAACAACAAGCAAACUGGACCGAAAGCCAAAUAAAUGCAAGAUGCUUCAAAUUAGAGCCAAGCACAGCAAGAAAAUAGAUCCUUUAGCAGCAAUGACAGUACGGCGAUCCACGGCUCAAAACCAUUUUCAGAAACCUCAAGAAGAAGGAAGUCGAACUCCAUUUUUAAGAAUCAAAAUCAAAGAAGAAGGAGAUGGAAUUUUGCAUUCUAGGAGUGAAGGAGUGGAUAAUAGGGAAAGUUGCGCUCGAAAAAAAGGGGGGAGGGGAUAUUUUGAUUCUUUGAUGUUAAAGAGAGAGAGUGAGAGACGUUAUUCUUUUUCUGGAGAGCUCCCCUCUGUUGAAGGUGAGCGACAUUUCUG